RNAcentral lists this ribosomal RNA (158 nucleotides) under Lobothallia helanensis. RNAcentral describes it as "5.8S ribosomal RNA". It matches the Rfam family "5.8S ribosomal RNA". From Rfam's summary of the family: 5.8S ribosomal RNA (5.8S rRNA) is a component of the large subunit of the eukaryotic ribosome. It is transcribed by RNA polymerase I as part of the 45S precursor that also contains 18S and 28S rRNA. Lineage: Eukaryota; Fungi; Ascomycota; Lecanoromycetes; Pertusariales; Megasporaceae. The record is from RNAcentral.
AAACUUUCAACAACGGAUCUCUUGGCUCUGGCAUCGAUGAAGAACGCAGCGAAAUGCGAUAAAGUAAUGUGAAUUGCAGAAUUCAGUGAAUCAUCGAAUCUUUGAACGCACAUUGCGCCCCCUGGUAUUCCGGGGGGCAUGCCUGUUCGAGCGUCAUU